AUUGAACGCUGGCGGCAGGCCUAACACAUGCAAGUCGAGCGGAUGAAGGGAGCUUGCUCCUGGAUUCAGCGGCGGACGGGUGAGUAAUGCCUAGGAAUCUGCCUGGUAGUGGGGGAUAACGUCCGGAAACGGGCGCUAAUACCGCAUACGUCCUGAGGGAGAAAGUGGGGGAUCUUCGGACCUCACGCUAUCAGAUGAGCCUAGGUCGGAUUAGCUAGUUGGUGGGGUAAAGGCCUACCAAGGCGACGAUCCGUAACUGGUCUGAGAGGUUGAUCAGUCACACUGGAACUGAGACACGGUCCAGACUCCUACGGGAGGCAGCAGUGGGGAAUAUUGGACAAUGGGCGAAAGCCUGAUCCAGCCAUGCCGCGUGUGUGAAGAAGGUCUUCGGAUUGUAAAGCACUUUAAGUUGGGAGGAAGGGCAGUAAGUUAAUACCUUGCUGUUUUGACGUUACCAACAGAAUAAGCACCGGCUAACUUCGUG
Molecule: ribosomal RNA, 484 nt
Filed under: uncultured bacterium
Lineage: Bacteria
Description: partial 16S ribosomal RNA
Rfam family: Bacterial small subunit ribosomal RNA
Source: RNAcentral